GAUGAACGCUGGCGGCGUGCCUAAUACAUGCAAGUCGAGCGAACAGAUGAGGAGCUUGCUCCUCUGACGUUAGCGGCGGACGGGUGAGUAACACGUGGAUAACCUACCUAUAAGACUGGGAUAACUUCGGGAAACCGGAGCUAAUACCGGAUAAUAUAUUGAACCGCAUGGUUCAAUAGUGAAAGACGGUUUUGCUGUCACUUAUAGAUGGAUCCGCGCCGCAUUAGCUAGUUGGUAAGGUAACGGCUUACCAAGGCAACGAUGCGUAGCCGACCUGAGAGGGUGAUCGGCCACACUGGAACUGAGACACGGUCCAGACUCCUACGGGAGGCAGCAGUAGGGAAUCUUCCGAAAUGGGCGACAGCCUGACGGAGCAACGCCGCGUGAGUGAUGAAGGUCUUCGGAUCGUAAAACUCUGUUAUUAGGGAAGAACAAAUGUGUAAGUAACUAUGCACGUCUUGACGGUACCUAAUCAGAAAGCCACGGCUAACUACGUG
This 497-nucleotide ribosomal RNA is filed under the name uncultured bacterium. Its description in RNAcentral is "partial 16S ribosomal RNA". It matches the Rfam family "Bacterial small subunit ribosomal RNA", at positions 28 to 507 of the family's 1533-position model. The record is from RNAcentral.